Molecule: non-coding RNA, 640 nt
Organism: Phoenix dactylifera (date palm)
Lineage: Eukaryota; Viridiplantae; Streptophyta; Magnoliopsida; Arecales; Arecaceae
Source: RefSeq, a predicted model, not a curated record
CUCCUCUUCCCUGUCGUCUCUACAUGACCCAAAGUCCUAAGCCUCUCUUGACGCCCGUGACCCCGUCGAUACCGUCCCUCUGCUCCAGGCCACCAGCGGCAGUGCACAUCCGUCCACAGCGGCCACCGGCGGCGGUCCACAAUCCUCGGCUCCAGGCCGCCGCCGGCUCUUCUGUUCUCCUCCGCGCUCUUCCACCAGCGGCCUCACCUCAGGCCCUCUUCUCUUCACGCACUCCUCGCACUCUGUUCACCUCAGGCCCCUUACCUAACCUCGUCUCUACUCGACGUUCCGUUCCACCGCCGACAACAGCUGUUCAUCACGCUUAGUUUAAUUGCUGGAAGAGCUGCCGAGUGAUCUUGCUCGGUUGCUUUGUUUGCGAGCCGGCCAGGACAAGGGGCAGAUCAGUCGGUCCACAUCAAUCUCAAGGUCGAGGCCAGACAAUAAAAUCAGUAGGGACGGAGGUUGUCAAGACUUAGAGUUGGCGCUAGCGAGUUUGGUGAUUUUGUGGAAGAAUUUUAGUAUUGACUAUAAAUUUGUAGCUAAUGAUUUUAUGAAUGUUGAAGGUGAUGGAUUUGGUAUUGAGUUUGGAUUUAGACGCUCUGAACCAAUAUUGAUUUUUAUUUAAUGAAUAAUAAAAUUA